AUGAUAGGCUCUAAGGUGCCUGUGGAGCUCGUUAGCGGCGUGAUCUUGAACCAAGGCAACAUAUACAUCUGGGAGACAACGCCGCCGUCAGUGCUGAAGCUAUACCGGGAGCAGUUCCAGGAGGACAUGUCAUUGUUCCUCAAGCUACGCCACACUGAGCUCGUGGCCAUCGGCCAGAUGAAGGAGAAGACGGAUUCCUUCAACCUGCCGCUGUACGCGCCUUCCAUCGACGAAGUGGGGGCGGUAAUCGAGCAGAGCGUACUGUUUGACGUCAACCAUAUCCAGCUCUUCGACUCCAAUUGGGAUCCUCAAGAUGACUCGGACGGCGAUGUGCUGCUCGACAGCGCCAAGAGCGGCGUGAACGUCGCCAGGACUUCGCGGGCCAUCAUCGGGCCCAUGCUUGCGCGUCAUUUCUCUUUGAGAUGUACACGCAGAAUGUCGCGAACCACCACGAGAAAGUGA
Molecule: ribosomal RNA, 462 nt
Filed under: Triticum aestivum (bread wheat)
Lineage: Eukaryota; Viridiplantae; Streptophyta; Magnoliopsida; Poales; Poaceae
Description: partial small subunit ribosomal RNA
Source: RNAcentral